GGGAAUGUAGCUUAGUGGUAGAGUUCUUGCCUAGCAUGCAUGAAGCCCUGAGUUUGACCUCAGUACCA
Molecule: transfer RNA, 68 nt
Filed under: Dipodomys ordii (Ord's kangaroo rat)
Lineage: Eukaryota; Metazoa; Chordata; Mammalia; Rodentia; Heteromyidae
Rfam family: tRNA
About the family: Transfer RNA (tRNA) molecules are approximately 80 nucleotides in length. Their secondary structure includes four short double-helical elements and three loops (D, anti-codon, and T loops).
Source: Rfam by way of RNAcentral